This 552-nucleotide ribosomal RNA is filed under the name Desmophyes haematogaster. RNAcentral describes it as "partial 16S ribosomal RNA". It matches the Rfam family "Bacterial large subunit ribosomal RNA", at positions 1816 to 2524 of the family's 2925-position model. The record is from RNAcentral. Lineage: Eukaryota; Metazoa; Cnidaria; Hydrozoa; Siphonophorae; Prayidae.
GCAUAUUUUUUCAAAAAUACAAAGAAAUGUGUGACACCUGCCCGGUGGACUUUUAUUUGGGGGGUUUAAAAUCUCUGUAAAUAAGUCUAAACGGCAGCUUUAAUCGGUUUUAAUGUAGGAUAAUAAUUUGGUCUUUAAAUGGGGCACUCUCGUGAAUGGUAAUACAAAUUGGACACUGUCUUGGACGGAAGGUAAUUGAAAUUGGAAUAAUAGUGAAGAUACUAUUUAAAAUUGUAAGACGGAAAGACCCUAUGGAACUUUACUACAACUUUUAUUUAUUCUUUUUCCCUUGUCUAAAAAAAGGUAGAAAUAAAAAAGAAAUUAUGAAAGGUAGGUAGUUUAGUUGGGGCAACUACCUUAUAUUAUAAACUAAGGUUAAGCAAGCUAAUAAGAUUAUUUACUGUAUAAACUACUAUUUUAACAGUUAUAAAAGUAGGCAUAAUGACCCGUUUUUAAAAUAUAAAAAUUUAUAAAAACGAUAAUUGGAUAAAAGUUACCCUAGGGAUAACAGGGCGAUUUCAGGCGACUUGUCGGGAACCUGACGUUUGCCAC